CAGUCGCCGCGGUAAUACGUAGGUCCCGAGCGUUGUCCGGAUUUAUUGGGCGUAAGGCGAGCGCAGGCGGUUAGAUAAGUCUGAAGUUAAAGGCUGUGGCUUAACCAUAGUACGCUUUGGAAACUGUUUAACUUGAGUGCAAGAGGGGAGAGUGGAAUUCCAUGUGUAGCGGUGAAAUGCGUAGAUAUAUGGAGGAACACCGGUGGCGAAAGCGGCUCUCUGGCUUGUAACUGACGCUGAGGCUCGAAAGCGUGGGGAGCAAACAGGAUUAGAUACCCCGUAGUCCCUGUCUCUUAUACAC
RNAcentral lists this ribosomal RNA (301 nucleotides) under uncultured bacterium. Its description in RNAcentral is "partial 16S ribosomal RNA". It matches the Rfam family "Bacterial small subunit ribosomal RNA", at positions 509 to 809 of the family's 1533-position model. The record is from RNAcentral.